GAUGAACGCUAGCGGCAGGCUUAAUACAUGCAAGUCGAGGGGUCAGCAAUGACACCGGCGGACGGGUGCGUAACGCGUAUGCAACCUACCUACAUCAGGGGGAUAGCCCUAGGAAACUGGGAUUAACACCGCAUAAUAUUAUUAAUGGCAUCAUUGAUAAUUGAAAUAUUUAUAGGAAGUAGAUGGGCAUGCGUAAGAUUAGCUAGUUGGUAAGGUAACGGCUUACCAAGGCUACGAUCUUUAGGGGCUCUGAGAGGAGUAUCCCCCACACUGGCACUGAGAUACGGGCCAGACUCCUACGGGAGGCAGCAGUAGGGAAUAUUGGGCAAUGGAGGCAACUCUGACCCAGCCAUGCCGCGUGCAGGAAGACGGCCCUCUGGGUUGUAAACUGCUUUUGAAUGGGAAGAAUGUGUGGCUUGCGAGCUAUAAUGACGGUACCAUUAGAAUAAGCCACGGCUAACUACGUGCCAGCAGCCGACGGUAAAACGU
RNAcentral lists this ribosomal RNA (489 nucleotides) under uncultured bacterium. Its description in RNAcentral is "bacterial SSU rRNA". It matches the Rfam family "Bacterial small subunit ribosomal RNA", at positions 28 to 528 of the family's 1533-position model. The record is from RNAcentral.